Mauremys mutica (yellowpond turtle) is the source of this 855-nucleotide long non-coding RNA. RefSeq lists it as uncharacterized. The transcript is spliced from 3 exons. The record is from RefSeq and is a predicted model, not a curated record. Lineage: Eukaryota; Metazoa; Chordata; Testudines; Geoemydidae.
GUGAAGUACAGAAGAACCUCAAGGAGAGGAACACCAGAGUCACAGACUUACCGGUCAACCGGACACGCUGUGGAACUGGAAGUUCAAGAGAAUAUAAUACUGUUCUUCAAUUGCUGUCCUAAUGUUACGUAUGGAACUCAUCUGUGCUCUUAAAGAGCUGCUGCACUCUACACCAGAGCUAGCUGCAUUUCCAUGACAGUGUCCACCAGAGAGCAGAAGGCUUGCUGUGGAUGGCUAAUGGAAUCCACCUAUUGUUAAAGUAAUCCUCUUCCAGCUACUGUCAUCAAGAGAGUGUGCAGCAUGAAUUUCCCCUUGAGCCAUGGGGGAAGAGCUUAUGGAAUAAAAGGCAAAGCCUGAUUUCCAUGGGGGUGAUCCUAUGCAGCUUUAGAUUAAUGAAUUGUGUUUAGAUUCCAGUGGCGCCAAUUCAUAGCAACCAAUAUAUUGUCUGUGGCAAGAACCCACAAUCAACAUUCCUGAAAAAGAUAAUCACUUAAGUAAAGUUAAAUCUGUAACAAUCGCAGAACAUAAACCACAAAAGAAUCACAUGGCAGACCAAGAUUCUUAAUUCAAGCAUUUUCAUCUUGCUACUGUAAGACUUUUGUAUUGAUACAGAAUAUGGCCAAACCCAUUAACACUCCACAUAAAAUGAUCACGUACUCACCUGUCCAAGAUCUAAAGUGACAUUCACUUCAUUAUACUGUAAGCCUAAAGAGAGAGGAGGACUUUGCCACCAGCGUUCAGUUCCAUCAAUAGCACUGGUUAUUGGGUGAGCUUUAUUGGGAUCAGCUGCAUUGCAGUAGUCACAAAACUGUCCCUGAAAGACAACAGAACAAAAGAUUUAUGCUCAGUUUGCUC